GUUGGUGAACCAGCGGAGGGAUCAUUAAAAGAAGCCGAAAGGCUACUUACAACCAUCGCGAACUCGUCCAAGUUGCUUCGGCGGAGCGGGGGCCCUUUACCGGGCCGCCGCGGCCCUCCGCCCCCGGGAGACCGGGGGUGCGGGGCGCCCGCCGGAGGUACGAAACUCUCAUGUCUUAUAGUGGAAUCUCUGAGUAAAAAACAAAUAAGUUAAAACUUUCAACAACGGAUCUCUUGGUUCUG
RNAcentral lists this unclassified non-coding RNA (242 nucleotides) under rhizosphere metagenome. Its description in RNAcentral is "partial ribosomal RNA internal transcribed spacer region". The record is from RNAcentral.